ACAGUGAGUAUUUUCUAACGUUCUAGUGUUACUACGCUACGCAGCCUACGCUACAUAGUCUACGGUAUACAGUUAUGCAACAACAAGAAGAAGUUCUAAUGAUAUCAACUUUUGCAGCGAUCAUUUUUGGACAAAUAAAGUACCAAGUCGUUUUAAUAUCUCCCACUGUCAGCAGCCUUGAGCUUAAGAAGAAUUUUUAAUGAUCUAUUUACCGUACGGAUUCAUGGCGCUGUGUGCAAUCAGCAUACUGAAAACAGAAGCUUUUAAGUGUGCUAUACCGACGAGAUUGGAGUUGAGUGGGGACACGUGUUAUUUUGUCUUAUCGGAACAUUUUGAUACACGAGAUUGGAGAAUAGCAAAACGCAGGUGUGCGAAAAAUCCUCCGAAGGCAUGGAAGGUUAAAAAUUUAACGGCAACAUUGGCAAUGGUCGACAGCAGGGAAGAUAUGUUGGCUCUACAGAAAUCUAUAAAGAAAAGUGGAAGGAAAAAUGUGGCUGGACGGACGCAUAUGUGGUUGGACGGCAGUAAUGCAAAACCUGAGAAACCCGGCAUGUUUGUCUGGCAUGACGCAGUGCUAACUCCGAUUGAUGGAACAGCAACAUUGGGCCACGUGUGCAGCAGGCUCCGACCACUGGCCAGCGAAGCACCGUUCUAGAAUCCUCUAUUGUUAUGCGUCAAUGGGAAGGCAAAGAUCCAUUCAAAUCUAAAAGCAAACCAUUUCCGCACAAUGACGAGAAGGAUCAGUAUGUCUGCUUAAGAGCUAGUAAACUAGGAGUCUUUUUGGAGCAUCACAGCAUGAAUGACGAAGCAUCAGUACACAAGUUUAUACCUGCCGUUGCUUGCAUGACUCCAGCAGUACCGGAUGGCCAGUAGCAUUGGAUGCACUGAUAUAGUACUGCAGCCUCAGAAUUGUCUUAUUCUGAUUGCCACUGGUAACAACGUAACCGGAAACAUAUGUACCGUCUUUUUCAGUACAGUAGAGAUCUGAAUGUGUGUUAUCGGUUAUAAAGUUUUCGGAAGGGUUCUGGAUGCAAUAUCAGCAGACAUGCCGCCGCUGCUCCAAACCAAUGUUCUUAUGUUUGAUUAUGUUUUGUAAAUUUGUAUGGUUUUGACCAGCUUGUACCGGAAAAAUGCGUGAAGUAUCUUGACAUUCAUAUCGAGAAAACGUGAAGUGGGAAGAGCAGUGACCGUUUACUGUGGAAGGUAAAUUACGGCAUUGCAAUGAUAAAACCAGCGAACGAUGGCUUGGACUAUGGGUCGAAUACGUGGUCAUCAGCAUCUUCUACUUUGAGCCGGACAGUGGGAAGAUUUCUCUUCAUUCUCAUAAACCACGACAUGUAAAUUCUAUUGGUCUAGUGCCCAAAAAGGGCAGCGAUAGCCUGCGGCCGAUAACAGACUGCAGCCGACCGGUCUACCGACAACUGGUUAUUAAACGAUUUUAUCAACGCCAAUACUUUCGAAGCGGUUGAUAGCGCUAUCUCUUGCAGUCAACGCAAUUGCUUUUUCGCUAUUGUUGACUCAAGAGCUGCUUACCGGUCAGUAUCGAUUUGCACGCCACAUCGUCAGCUGCAUUGUUUUUCUUGCAAUUUUCUUGUGAACACGAGAUUUUAUAUAUAGACACCUUUUUUGUGCUUUUUGGUUGUUGUUGCUCUGUUUGCGGGUUUGGGACUUCUUUUUUCCAUGGCUACGUUUGUCGUAGUAAUGCGCAGCGGUCACAAAAAUGUUUCAGUGGCAAAUUUUUUUGAGAUUCUGCUCGCUGGCUGGCGUCGAUAUUGCGGAAGAUGUUUGUCCACUCUAUGACGUUUAACACAUCGCUCUGUUGCGCAAGUGUGUGUAAUGCCAACGUUCCUUGUGGAUCAUGUGCGGCAUGCGUCAUGAGUCAGGUUCUUGUGAUAAGUAAGCCAAAGGGAGUGGCUUGAACGAUAAGAAACAGAUGACUGAGCGGGAAGAAAGGAAUAAUUUAUUGCGUAUUACCAAUUGUGUGUCUUUAUUAUCUGCAAUAUUUUGUCUCUCGUAACAUGCAUGAAAAGCCUGGCCUAAAAACUACCAUGAUGAAGUUGUGGAAUGGAUCCAGUACAUCACCUGCCAGGCUCGCAAUAACCCUCCCUUGGAAUAUUUUAGCACUGCAUGCCAUUCCGUUUAGCAUUCGAUUUGUUGUCUGCCAAUAUCAGUUAAACAAUAUUGGGUCAGUUCAGCCGCGGCCGGUUGGGUUGUAAUUAUCAGCGGUAGGAAGGUCAUAUCCACCUGUCCAGAGAAAUGCGAAACAGGACGAUGCUACCCGAAGCCGGAUACAACUCGAAAUGCCUGCCUUACUUUAACCCUGGUUAAGCACUACCAAGUUGGGAAUUACUUACGUAUUUCCCCGCUUAAGUUGUUGCCAAACCUGUGAAUUAAAAGAAUACAAAAAACCGCUAAGCGCGGCAGAAAUUAAAGCUCCUACGAUAUCUCGAACGAAGCUAGCUGAAUCAGAAAUCCCAUAAAGCAAAACAAAGAGGAAGAACCGGAUCACAUGACUGUAGAUUCGGUUUUCUGAUAGCUUACUUUGUAUUUGGUUUAGGUUGAGUGCAUUUUCCCACUGCAGAUGAUGCAAAAUAUAGAGCGUAGCACCGACAUAUAUGCAUGACCUUUACGCAUAUCAUACCAGAUAAUUAUUUUUGUGCCUU
Molecule: RNA transcript, 2663 nt
Organism: Paramacrobiotus metropolitanus
Lineage: Eukaryota; Metazoa; Tardigrada; Eutardigrada; Parachela; Macrobiotidae
Exons: 7
Source: RefSeq, a predicted model, not a curated record